RNAcentral lists this transfer RNA (67 nucleotides) under Protosialis americana. RNAcentral describes it as "tRNA-Ser". It matches the Rfam family "tRNA". Rfam says of the family: Transfer RNA (tRNA) molecules are approximately 80 nucleotides in length. Lineage: Eukaryota; Metazoa; Arthropoda; Insecta; Megaloptera; Sialidae. The record is from RNAcentral.
AAUUAAUGAGCUUGUUAAGCAUAUGUUUUGAAAGCAUAUAAAAAGGGUAAUAACCCCUUAUUAAUUU